CGCGGUGUAUGGAAGUGGUCAUCCGCUUGGUCUCAUAAGCCAAGAAUCGCUGGUUCGAAUCCAGCCAUCGCAACCA
This 76-nucleotide transfer RNA is filed under the name bacterium. RNAcentral's name for it is "tRNA-Met". It matches the Rfam family "tRNA". From Rfam's summary of the family: Transfer RNA (tRNA) molecules are approximately 80 nucleotides in length. Their secondary structure includes four short double-helical elements and three loops (D, anti-codon, and T loops). The record is from RNAcentral.